Molecule: small RNA, 78 nt
Filed under: Flavobacterium sp. KMS
Lineage: Bacteria; Pseudomonadati; Bacteroidota; Flavobacteriia; Flavobacteriales; Flavobacteriaceae
Description: Flavo-1 RNA
Rfam family: Flavo-1 RNA
Source: Rfam by way of RNAcentral
ACCUAGCCCUGAUGGCAGCGGCAUCCUUUAUGUUUUUUCUUUAAAAACAUAAAGAUAUAGCGAACAGCAGGAGAUUGC